RNAcentral lists this ribosomal RNA (486 nucleotides) under uncultured bacterium. RNAcentral describes it as "partial 16S ribosomal RNA". It matches the Rfam family "Bacterial small subunit ribosomal RNA", at positions 28 to 507 of the family's 1533-position model. The record is from RNAcentral.
GACGAACGCUGGCGGCGUGCUUAACACAUGCAAGUCGAACGGGAUCCAAAGGCUUUUUGUUUUUGGUGAGAGUGGCGAACGGGUGAGUAACACGUGAGUAACCUGCCCCCUUCUUUUGGAUAACCGCAUGAAAGUGUGGCUAAUACAGGAUAUUCCAGGCUGGUCGCAUGAUUGGUUUGGGAAAUGGUUUGGUCUGGUGGGGGAUGGGCUCGCGGCCUAUCAGCUUGUUGGUGGGGUGAUGGCCUACCAAGGCGGUGACGGGUAGCCGGCCUGGGAGGGUGGGCGGUCACACUGGGACUGAGAUACGGCCCAGACUCCUACGGGAGGCAGCAGUGGGGGAUUUUGCACGAUGGGCGCAAGCCUGAUGCAGCGACGCCGCGUGAGGGAUGAAGGCCUUCGGGUUGUAAACCUCUUUCGCUGGGUUGAAAGGCCAUGCUUUGGGUGUGGUUGAUUUGAACUGGUAAAGAAGUACCGGCUAACUACGUG